CAGCAAAUUAAUAAUUAUUAUUAAGUUCAAAUUGACAUGAAAUACAAGUACCAGAUUACAAUCAUGCGGACGAUCACGCUAAUAACGCUUAGUAUACAAAUUGACUAUUUCAGACCAUGUGGUAUUCACAUCUUUUAUCAUUCUCUGCAUGCAAUUCAAAGGUAAAAUGCAUAAAUACCACGAGCGAUAAAAAAAUUGAGAAUUGCAUCAUCUGACAGCAACAUUCUGCGUGCAAAAAUGAGAGGUCCAUUGUCUUUAUGUUAAAGGACUAGCUUUAUAUAAAUAGUAUCUUUAGUCUGACUUGUGUUCUUUUUUCGCUCUCAAUCGAUGUAUAUAUUCUUGGAUAAAAAAGUUGGCAAACAAUAUCACAAGAGAAACAGCAUAGCAGAAAAACAAACCAAACACCCAGUGUGGAAAUGUACAAUCUUUCAUAGUUAGUGCAUGUGAAAUGUAGAUCAAUAAAAGGAUGAAUUGCAGC
Molecule: non-coding RNA, 478 nt
Organism: Paramuricea clavata
Lineage: Eukaryota; Metazoa; Cnidaria; Anthozoa; Malacalcyonacea; Plexauridae
Source: the annotation of a GenBank genome assembly